RNAcentral lists this long non-coding RNA (1062 nucleotides) under Cicer arietinum (chickpea). RNAcentral's name for it is "long non-coding RNA (CARI_LNC000576)". Lineage: Eukaryota; Viridiplantae; Streptophyta; Magnoliopsida; Fabales; Fabaceae. The record is from RNAcentral.
UUGGAUAACUUUCAAGUGUCUCAAUGAACUUACAGUGGACAAUAAAAUAAAAAUUCUUGAAAAAGUCCAACUAAAUACCGAUUAAAAUAAAAGUUCAACUAAUAAAGGUUUAUAUGGUUGUUUGGCUGCUCAAGUGAAUUUUGAGGGAGAGCUUGUGGAUUUUUUUUUUGGUUGCGGAGUAGGUUUUGUAGUGGAUUUGGGGCAUAUUUAAAUUUGAAUAUUUUCUUAAAAUUCGACCCACUUUUAUCAAGCCCAAAUCUUGUUGUUUUGUCAAAAGUGGAGUUGUGGAAAAUGAAUUGAAGCUGGUGAGAUGGUUCCAGCUGGCAUCAUUGAUAAGAAAUUAAUUAAGCUCUUAGUUGAUAUUUAACUGUUAUUAUAAUAUGAGGACAUAUUAAUUAAUUAUUGAGAUAGGAAAACCGUGGUACUUCAUUUCCAUUUAACUGUGAGGGAUCUAAGGAUAUUGUUAAAAAACAUGUUAAUUUAAAGGAAACUGUUCAUCCUAUGAUAGAUUAGGCAUGGACUAUUAUAGAUGUCCAUGCUUUAUUUUACAUACUGCUUGGGAUGUGUUACAUACAUUACGCACAUGCAUAUCAUGGAUGUCCACCGUGUCCUCCACCUCCGUGUCCGCCUCCACCUCCAGGUCUUCCUCCUCCGCCAGGUCUUCCUCCGUCUCCGCCAGGUCCGCCGUCGUGUGGUCCGCCAGGUCCGCCGUCGUGUGGUCCGCCAGGUCCGCCGUCACGUGGUCCGCCAGGUCCACCGUCACGUGGUCCGCCAGGUCCACCGUCAUGUGGUCCGCCUCCUCCCGAACCAUCUACACCAACUGCAUAUACACAAACAUGGUUAAAUAUUGUUAUGAUUAAUAUAAUUUAAUGAAGAUAUAUUAUUAAUAUAUAGAAUAAUUUUACACUAGGUAAGUUCAUUUUAUAAUAGCAAUUUAAAAAUAACUAUAGCAACAAUGUAUCAAUGUAAAAUUGAUUUAAAAUUAGUUAUCAAUAUUUUUUCUCUCUCAAAACUUUAGUAUCUACUAUAAGUAGAUAAAAUACACCACUAUCUAUAAGAGUA